RNAcentral lists this ribosomal RNA (251 nucleotides) under uncultured prokaryote. RNAcentral describes it as "partial 16S rRNA". It matches the Rfam family "Bacterial small subunit ribosomal RNA", at positions 525 to 775 of the family's 1533-position model. The record is from RNAcentral.
ACGUAGGGUGCGAGCGUUGUCCGGAAUUACUGGGCGUAAAGAGCUCGUAGGCGGUUUGUCACGUCGGCGGUGAAAUCCUAGGGCUUAACCCUGGACGUGCCGUCGAUACGGUCUGACUUGAGUACAACAGAGGAAACUGGAAUUUGUCGUGUAGCGGUGGAAUGCUCAGAUAUCACGAAGAACACCGAUGGCGAAGGCAGCUCACUGGGUAGUAACUGACGCUGAUGCGCGAAAGCAUGGGUAGCAAACAG